This 468-nucleotide ribosomal RNA is filed under the name uncultured bacterium. RNAcentral describes it as "partial 16S ribosomal RNA". It matches the Rfam family "Bacterial small subunit ribosomal RNA", at positions 28 to 507 of the family's 1533-position model. The record is from RNAcentral.
GACGAACGCUGGCGGCGUGCUUAACACAUGCAAGUCGAACGGAAAGGCCCUGCUUUUGUGGGGUGCUCGAGUGGCGAACGGGUGAGUAACACGUGAGUAACCUGCCCUUGACUUUUGGAUAACUUCAGGAAACUGGGGCUAAUACCGGAUAGGAGCUCCUGCUGCAUGGUGGGGGUUGGAAAGUUUCGGCGGUUGGGGAUGGACUCGCGGCUUAUCAGCUUGUUGGUGGGGUAGUGGCUUACCGAGGCUUUGACGGGUAGCCGGCCGGAGAGGGUGACCGGCCACAUUGGGACUGAGCUACGGCCGAGACGCCUACGGGAGGCAGGAGUGGGGAAUAUUGCACAAUGGGCGGAAGCCUGAUGCAGCAACGCCGCGUGCGGGAUGACGGCCUUCGGGUUGUAAACCGCUUUGGCCUGUGACGAAGCGUGAGUGACGGUAAUGGGUAAAGAAGCACCGGCUAACUACGUG